AACAGGAUUAGAUACCCUGGUAGUCCACGCCGUAAACGAUGUCGACUUGGAGGCUGUUCCCUUGAGGAGUGGCUUCCGGAGCUAACGCGUUAAGUCGACCGCCUGGGGAGUACGGCCGCAAGGUUAAAACUCAAAUGAAUUGACGGGGGCCCGCACAAGCGGUGGAGCAUGUGGUUUAAUUCGAUGCAACGCGCAAAACCUUACCUACUCUUGACAUCCAAAGUACUUUCCAGAGAUGGAAGGGUGCCUUAGGGAACUUUGAGACAGGUGCUGCAUGGCUGUCGUCAGCUCGUGUUGUGAAAUGUUGGGUUAAGUCCCGUAACGAGCGCAACCCUUGUCCUUAGUUGCCAACGCAUAAGGCGGGAACUUUAAGGAGACUGCUGGUGAUAAACCGGAGGAAGGUGGGGACGACGUCAAGUCAUCAUGGCCCUUAAGAGUAGGGCAACACACGUGCUACAAUGGCAAAAACAAAGGGUCGCAAAAUGGUAACAUGAAGCUAAUCCCAAAAAAAUUGUCUAAGUUCGGAUUGGAGUCUGAAACUCGACUCCAUAAAGUCGGAAUCGCUAGUAAUCGUGAAUCAGAAUGUCACGGUGAAUACGUUCUCGGGCCUUGUACACACCGCCCGUCACACCAUGGAAGUGAAAUGCACCAGAAGUGGCAAGUUUAACCAAAAAACAGGAGAACAGUCACUACGGUGUGGUUCAUGACUGGGGUGAGGUCGUAACAAGGUAGCUGUAGGGGAACCUGUGGCUGGAUCACCUCCUU
RNAcentral lists this ribosomal RNA (765 nucleotides) under uncultured bacterium. Its description in RNAcentral is "bacterial SSU rRNA". It matches the Rfam family "Bacterial small subunit ribosomal RNA", at positions 771 to 1532 of the family's 1533-position model. The record is from RNAcentral.